UACGGAGGAUGCGAGCGUUAUCCGGAUUUAUUGGGUUUAAAGGGUGCGUAGGCGGACUGUCAAGUCAGCGGUAAAAUUGAGAGGCUCAACCUCUUCCCGCCGUUAAACUGGUGGUCUUGAGUGGAUGAGAAGUACGCGGAAUGCGUGGUGUAGCGGUGAAAUGCAUAGAUAUCACGCAGAACUCCGAUUGCGAAGGCAGCGUACCGGCAUCCAACUGACGCUGAGGCACGAAAGCGUGGGGAUCAAACAGG
RNAcentral lists this ribosomal RNA (251 nucleotides) under uncultured bacterium. Its description in RNAcentral is "partial 16S ribosomal RNA". It matches the Rfam family "Bacterial small subunit ribosomal RNA", at positions 524 to 776 of the family's 1533-position model. The record is from RNAcentral.